CAAUAGCGUAUAUUAAAGUUGUUGCAGUUAAAAAGCUCGUAGUUGAAUUUCUGGUGGGCGCGCCGGUCUUCCAAGUGUUGUACUGGGCGCAGUCCGCCAUCCUUGUGGAGAGGGCUCGCAUUGAGUUGCGUGUCGGAUCUGCAUCAUUUACUGUGAAAAAAUUAGAGUGUUUAAAGCAGGCUGUCGCUUGAAUACAUUAGCAUGGAAUAAUAAGAUAGGACUUGGGUCUAUUUUGUUGGUUGCGAACCGAGGUAAUGAUUAAUAGGGAUAGUUGGGGGUAUUCAUAUUUAAUUGUCAGAGGUGAAAUUCUUGGAUUUAUGAAAGAUGAACAACUGCGAAAGCAUUUACCAAGGAUGUUUUCAUUAA
This 366-nucleotide ribosomal RNA is filed under the name uncultured eukaryote. RNAcentral's name for it is "partial 18S ribosomal RNA". It matches the Rfam family "Eukaryotic small subunit ribosomal RNA", at positions 592 to 976 of the family's 1831-position model. The record is from RNAcentral.